UACGUAGGGGGCGAGCGUUAUCCGGAAUUACUGGGGGUAAAGCGCACGCAGGCGGUUCGCCAAGUUUGGAGUGACAGUUGUCGGCUCAACCGACAAAGGACUUCAAAAACUGGUGAACUUGAGGACGAGAGAGGAACAUGGAACUCCAGGUGUAGUAGUGAAAUGCGUAGAUAUCUGGAAGAACACCAAUGGCGAAGGCAAUGUUCUGGCUCGUUUCUGACGCUCAGGUGCGAAAGCCAGGGGAGCGAACGGG
RNAcentral lists this ribosomal RNA (253 nucleotides) under uncultured bacterium. RNAcentral's name for it is "partial 16S ribosomal RNA". It matches the Rfam family "Bacterial small subunit ribosomal RNA", at positions 524 to 776 of the family's 1533-position model. The record is from RNAcentral.